UCCAAGUGCACAAAACCCUCAAUUUCCUUUCCCGCCAUUUGCCUUCCUCUUCCCUCCUAUCCAUCCGCAUCCGCAACAGCAAUGAGCCACCCGUGUCAGUUGUCUCCCUCUGCGUAGCAGAAAAACGGCAGCUGAUGUUCACCGCAUUCAGGUCAUGCUCUUCUUCACUCUACUUUACCCACCACACUCUUUCGCUUCAUCCCCUCAGAAAACCACUCGGCUUUAAGCCCUACUUUCUCAUCUAUUCUUCCUUCCCCGCAAAACCCUUCUCUCAGAGAUCCCUCUUUCUCUCGAUUCCAUUAGUUAAUCCAGGAUCAAUAGCAGCAAUGGCUUCUCGCCCUUCUGCCUUCGACCUCCUCAUGUCCAAUGCCAGCAAGAAAAAGUCCGAGCAGAAACAACAAAAACCAUCUCCCAAGAAACGCAAAACCACCACCCCCACCAUCACUUCUCAAAAUUCUGCUCCGAUUUCAGUCAAAAAAGAUAUGAAAAAUGACGAUUCGAGCAAGAUUAAGGAUGCCCAGCUGGGGAAAAGUGAGGAAGCGGUGGUUAAGAAACCUAAGGUGGUAAUUACUCCUGAUGAGAGCCUUCUUGAGUUGAAGGAUAAGGCGGCAAGUUUUGAUCCCAAGAAGGCGGCAUAUUGGGGAAAGGGACAAAGGGUGCCGUUUAUGUUUGUAGCGAAGGCGUUGGAUGCUAUUUCUAAAGAAUCAGGGCGGAUUGCGAUAACUGCAAUUGUUUGUAACAUGUUGAGGACUGUGAUGGAAACGACGCCAGAGGAUUUGGUGGCUGUUGUUUACCUUUUGGCGAACCGGAUUGCUUCAGCUCAUGAAGGAUUGGAGCUUGGGAUUGGGGAUGCUUCGAUUAUUAAGGCUCUGUCCGAGGCGUGCGGAACAAAAGAAGCACAAAUUAAGAAGCAGUACAAGGAGCUUGGAGAUCUAGGCCUUGUUGCAAAAGCAAGCCGUUCGUCUCAGUCUUUAAUGCGCAAACCAGAAGCACUAACUGUUGUUAAAGUUUUUGAUACAUUUCGCCUUAUUGCUAAGGAAUCUGGUAAGGAUAGUCAAGAGAAGAAAAAGAAUCAUAUCAAGGCACUACUGGUUGCUGCUACUGAUUGUGAACCUCAGUACUUGAUUCGUCUGCUCCAGGCGAAACUGCGCAUUGGUUUAGCUGAGCAAACUCUGUUAGCUGCUUUGGGCCAUGCUGCAGUUUAUGCUGAUAAGCAAUCUUCAACUCCUGCAAAUAUAGAUUCUUCUUUAGAAGAGGCUGCUAAAAUCGUGAAACAAGUUUACUCGGUAAUUCCAGUCUAUGAUAAAAUAAUCCCUGCUCUUCUUGCUGAUGGUGUAUGGGAUCUUCCCAUGACAUGUAGCUUUUCACCUGGUGUUCCUGUUGGACCUAUGCUAGCAAAACCAACUAAGGGAGUUUCUGAAAUAUUGGAUAAGUUUCAGGAUAUUGAAUUCACCUGUGAAUACAAGUAUGAUGGAGAACGUGCGCAGAUUCACUACAUGGAGGAUGGUACAGUGGAGAUAUAUAGUCGAAAUGCAGAAAGAAACACUGGAAAGUAUCCUGAUGUUGUGGAUGCAAUUUCAAGGUUUAAAAGGCCGUCUGUAACCUCAUUUGUUCUUGAUUGUGAAAUUGUUGCAUUUGAUCGUGAGAAGAAAAAAAUUCUCCCCUUCCAGGUCCUCAGCACACGGGCUCGUAAAAAUGUGGUCUUGAGUGAAAUAAAGGUUGGUGUUUGCAUAUAUGCUUUUGAUAUCUUGUAUAUCAAUGGCCAACCUCUCCUACAAGCACAGCUUGACAGUCGAAGGCAGCAUCUUUACGAGUCAUUUGAGGAAGAACCUGGCUUUUUUCAAUUUGCUACAGCAGUAACAUCAAAUGAUCUUGAGGAAAUACAGAAGUUCCUUGAAGCUGCUGUUGAUGCCAGUUGUGAGGGGUUGAUAAUUAAGACAUUGAAGAAAGAUGCCACGUAUGAGCCUUCCAAGCGGUCAAAUAACUGGCUGAAGUUGAAAAAGGAUUACAUGGAUAGUACGGGUGACUCACUGGAUUUGGUUCCCAUUGCUGCUUUCCAUGGCCGGGGAAAACGUACCGGUGUUUAUGGAGCCUUUCUCCUUGCUUGUUAUGAUGUCAACAACGAAGAAUUCCAGAGCAUAUGUAAAAUUGGCACUGGAUUUUCUGAAGCUGUGCUUGAAGAGCGCUCUGCCAGCUUGCGCUCUAAAGUUAUUCCGAAGCCAAAGUCUUAUUACCGGUACUCAGAUACAAUCAAUCCAGAUGUAUGGUUUGAACCUAUUGAGGUUUGGGAGGUAAAAGCUGCUGAUCUGACUAUCAGUCCUGUUCAUCGUGCUGCUACUGGUAUUGUGGAUUCAGACAAGGGAAUUUCUCUUCGGUUUCCACGUUUACUACGGGUUCGAGAAGAUAAGAAUCCAGAGGAUGCCUCUUCUGCUGAUAUGGUAGCAGAUAUGUAUAGAGCUCAGAAACACAAUCAAAGUAACCGUGAUGAUGAUGAGCAAUAAUGAAAGCAAUUAGUUGGAUAUUUUAGUUCAUUUAUAGAAAUGAUGCCUAUUGUGCAUGUCUGGGCAUCCACAAAACACUUUCCAGGUGUUACAUGUAUAAUUUGAUCUAUAUCUGGGCAAAGGAAAGAAGGCGGAAAAAAAGAAAAAGAAAGACGGACUUCCAAGACUGUUGCUUAUACGGUGGGAGCAUUAUCCCUCGGGUUAUUACUUGGUCUGAAUGUGUUCUAGAAAAUGGCACAUGUUACAGCUGGAGACCGAGUAUUUACUUGACCUGCUUGUGCAUGUUGUCAAGAGGAAGAAGACAUCGCGUUUCCACGGGAAAACGCAGUUGUGAUACAACUGGAAUGCCUCUUCACAGUUUCAUAUCUACGAUAUUGUCUUUCUCUAUCAA
Coffea eugenioides is the source of this 2892-nucleotide RNA transcript. It is a transcript of the gene named DNA ligase 1, with no coding region annotated. The transcript is spliced from 18 exons. The record is from RefSeq and is a predicted model, not a curated record. Lineage: Eukaryota; Viridiplantae; Streptophyta; Magnoliopsida; Gentianales; Rubiaceae.